GGCAGUCUGGCUGCUGGAGUGCGGCGCCGCGGUGGGAACCCAGAUAGCUGGUGGGCUAGAGGGCUGGCAAGGGGGUGGCAGGAAGGCGCGGCGGCCGCGGGGCGCAGGACGAGGGUCUGCAAGGCGGCAGCCCCCCGAGGGCCAGACUUGCCGAGACCCGGGCUGGGUCUUAUUGGUGGUGAGGCGGCAGCCCCGCUCACACCAAAGAGGAGGCGGCUGUGGCGGCAGCGGCGGCCCCAGCCAUGCUGUGCUAUGUGACGAGGCCGGACGCGGUGCUGAUGGAGGUGGAAGUGGAGGCGAAAGCCAACGGUGAGGACUGCCUCAACCAGGUGUGCAGGCGAUUGGGAAUUAUAGAAGUUGAUUAUUUUGGACUGCAGUUUACGGGUAGCAAAGGUGAAAGUUUAUGGCUAAAUCUGAGAAACCGGAUCUCCCAGCAGAUGGAUGGGCUAGCCCCUUACCGCCUUAAACUAAGAGUCAAGUUCUUCGUGGAGCCUCAUCUCAUCUUACAGGAGCAGACUAGGCAUAUCUUUUUCUUGCAUAUCAAGGAGGCCCUCCUGGCUGGCCACCUCCAGUGCUCCCCAGAGCAGGCAAUGGAGCUCAGCGCCCUCCUGGCCCAGACCAAGUUUGGAGACUACAAUCAGAACACUGCCAAGUACAGCUACGAGGAGCUGUGUGCAAAGGAGCUCACCAGUGCCGCCUUGAACAGCAUUGUCGCAAAGCAUAAGGAGUUGGAGGGGACCAGUCAGGCUUCGGCUGAGUACCAAGUUUUGCAGAUUGUGUCUGCAAUGGAAAACUAUGGCAUAGAAUGGCAUUCUGUGCGGGACAGCGAAGGGCAGCGACUCCUCAUUGGGGUUGGGCCUGAAGGAAUCUCAAUCUGUAAAGAUGACUUCAGCCCAAUUAAUAGGAUAGCUUACCCCGUAGUGCAGAUGGCCACGCAGUCAGGAAAGAAUGUGUACUUGACCGUCACCAAGGAGUCUGGGAACAGCAUCGUGCUCUUGUUUAAGAUGAUCAGCACCAGGGCAGCCAGCGGGCUCUACCGGGCAAUCACAGAGACGCAUGCUUUCUACAGGUGUGACACUGUGACCAGUGCCGUCAUGAUGCAGUAUAGCCGAGACCUGAAGGGCCACUUGGCAUCUCUGUUUCUGAAUGAAAACAUUAACCUCGGGAAGAAGUAUGUCUUCGACAUUAAGAGAACCUCGAAGGAGGUGUAUGACCACGCCAGGAGGGCUCUGUACAAUGCCGGCGUGGUAGACCUCGUCUCAAGAAGCGACCACAGCCCUCCCAACUCGCCUCUGAAGUCCUCCGAGAGCAGCCUGAAUUGCAAUAGCUGUGAGGGCCUCAGCUGCCAGCAGACCAGAGUGCUCCAGGAGAAGCUGCGCAAGCUAAAGGAAGCCAUGCUGUGCAUGGUGUGCUGCGAGAUGGAGAUCAACUCGGCCUUCUGUCCUUGCGGCCACACUGUGUGCUGUGAGGGCUGCGCUGCCCAGCUCCAGUUAUGUCCAGUCUGCCGGUCACGGGUGGAACACGUGCAGCACGUCUAUCUUCCAACCCACACCAGUCUUCUCAAUCUAACUGUCAUCUGAUCUGUCGUGCACUUACUGGACAGGUCGUUUUCAUAACUGCACUAUUAUAAACUAUGAAAUGAUAGAUUGUGGAGAAAAAUAAAUACUCCAACACCCAUCUGCCAUGCAAUGCUUGCAAAAGACAAAGGAAGAAUAAAAAGAAGACGAUACUUCUCACCACCAACACAUGCCAUCAGCCGCUCCCGUGGUGGGGACCAGGAAGACCUCGGGACACAGAUAUAUUCCUCAGACUUUCCAUUCUUUUUAUGAUCAAGUAAAGGAAUAAGUAAAAUCUCCAAUGUCAGUUAAGUGGCAACAUAGCCAAAAAAUGGGUACCUUUUAAGCAGUGAUGUUGUAAGUUUCCUUAAUGUAUCCCAAGACCAUGGACUCCUCAAGCUCAGAGACUAACAUGAAAAUCAUAUUUCAAGGUGGUUUAAUGGAACUCUAAGGAAAGUGCGAUGGAGGCAGAAAACACGGGGAUUAAUUUUGGAUUACGGACCAAAGACACUAUAAACACCAACAAAGGGAAGAUACAGAAAUGAGCCUAACAAAUAUAGGGAAGGAAAAUGUGGAAGAAGAGAAAGAACAAGGGAAUGGAAAAUGCUUUUCUUUAAACUCAGAGCUCUGUGUUGCUUAUGAACCAUGAAGGUAAAUCGCAGUGUCAGGAGAGUGAAGAUGGUGGAAUUCAUUCCUUUCCAAAACUUAUCUGAUCGUCUAUAUGCAAUUUGUCAAGAGAAGACAGAAGCCACACCUCUUAAUCCAGGGAUACAUCAUUUUAUUGUGCUUCACUUUAUUGCACUUCAGAAAUAUUACAUUUUUUACAAAUUGAAGGCAAGACCCUCCACUAACGAAAAGAUUAUGAUGUGCUUUAUUGAGAUAGCCACUUAAUUGCAGUGAUCUGGAACUGAACCAGCAGUAUCUCCGAGAAAGUACAAAGCUUUUGUCUGCUUUGUUCAUUGCUGUAUCUCCCAUGCCUGGAACAGAGACUAGCAAAGGGCAAGUAUUCAAUAAAUAAUUAUUGAAUGACUUGUGGAUGCCUCGGGUUCCAGGCCAUCCUGCUCAUCAUUCCGUCACCCCGGCGUGGCCAGCAAAGUGCCCAGUACCCGCAUGCCUCUUGAAUCGAACCGACUGAAGAGCCAGUCACCUGGACCUGGCCACGUAUAUCUCUUUUGCUUUGAAAAGAAGAUGUAAAUUUAACUGCAGUUAUACAGCUGUGGUGCUGCAAGACAGGCAGACACGAUGGAGGGUGAGACUCUCUCAGGAAAACUCUAGGUUAAACUCUUGUAGGCAACUCUAAUUGCUAAAUCUACUUAGGAAGAGGAAAUGAGUUAAAUUAGGAGUCCUUCUUGUAAAUGAACCAAAUAAGAAGCUGUUGGGCAAAGUUUUUCAUUCCUCAUUCCCUUCAAUCAGCAUCCUCAGAGAAGGUGGCAGGAUAGCAAGACUUAGCAAGAGCGUUUCAUUGGGCCAAAAGCUUUGCUCCCCUGACUGUAGAAACCAAAAAGAAAGGAAAACCUGGUCUUAAGCCAGUAGGUCCCUCUUUGGCAUGUGCUUGAGAAGAAGCUGCCACGUGGUCUCUCCUGAGAUAGUAAGGAUUAUCGCUGCAAAAGGCCAGCCUCUCAGUCUUGAGUCUUUGCCAACAUGCUUCCAAUUGGGAGGGCUAAAUCCUCCUAAUUGAGCAAAAGCACACCCAGCCCCCACCGAAGUAAGCGACACAGAAGCACUGUGUAAUUCACCUCUAUUGAAGAAGCAGUUACUUGUAUUAUCUGUAGUCAUAUGGUCCAGAAAGACUUUUUCCCACAAUAUUUACAAUUUUUAAUGUAUUUGCAUCGUCUUCUGUAUCACAGGGUCCCCUUCCCUUUUUCUGAGAAACUCAACAAAAAUAUAUUGAAAUAAACAAAUAUGAUAAUAUGAAUAUCCAUAUAAAUCACCAACAUCAAUUCCAACAGAAAUGGUAUAUGUAAAAAACAAAAACGUAUAAAUGCCUGUGCACUCAUGCAUGUGUAUUCAGAAGUAGAGUGGUUAAAAAAAAAAAAAAGUAGAGUGGUAACUUUAGUGUCAGCUCUAUCAAGAUUCUAGGUAAGCGCUGUCGGUUACUGUGUGAAUUAUGGCAAGUGGUACAAAAUCUCUAAACUUUGACCCUCUUCUGUAAAAUACAGAUAAAAGUAAUACCUAUCCACAGUUGUUUUGUGGAGAUUAAAUAAGAUAAUGCUGGCAUAGCACUUAGCACUGCACCAAUCAUAUAGUAACCACUCCAUAAGUGCUGAAUGAAUAAAUUAAUAAACUGCCAUACACCCUUCAAGCUACUGGUUCAGACCACAUUUCUGAGACAAUAAGACUUUUCUCAUCCCCCAAACAACUGGGUCCUGAGACUACUGUUCACAGCUGUGUUGGUUGCAACUUAUGGGGCACCGUUCAAAGUUCAUGCCCCAAGGAUUUGUAUGUUCACUAUUACAGUUUUACUGCAUAUUACAAUGAUUUUCUAAUAGAUGGGAAAUAAAGAAUCAUGAGGAAGGGAAGACUUUGUCUACUUUGCACAAAGGCAUUAUAUGGGCAAACACUGGCCCUGGGCAAUAAAGACGAGGCACUGGCGCCAGCUCCCGGAUUAGAUGACUGGUUUCAGCCACAGUUGGGCGCAUUCAUGAUACUCCAAACACUGUAAGCAUUGUUGGACAGGGCUGAAAAGCUGCUCUCGCCCGACAGUCUUUGAGUUUCUAAAUGUUAGCUACUGUGUUUGCUGUCCUUACUAUCGUCAUUUUUUUUUUUUACUAUAUUAUUUGUUGUGUUCACACUCAUCCCAGAGGCCAUGCCUGUCUUCUAAAAUAGUCUUUCAGCAUCACCUACCUGCCAUAAUAAAAAUCGAAAAGCCAAACCCAAGUUAGCACCUUGCCAUCCAGAAGCUCGCUUGUCCUCCCUGGAAUAAGGCCCUCUGCAGACUCAGCCUCCCUCUUUAGUCUGAAAACAGGUCCUGAGUCAGGAUAGAGGACCUGCAUUACCCAGCCAGCUAGCUGAGGGGUGACAAAAAGCAUGGGAAAAAUGAAGCAGAGGUCAUGAAUCUUGGCGAGGAAAGGAAGCCAUCUGGUCAACCAUCAGAGCAAUCAGGGGUGGCCUUUUGGGUGGCUACCUGGGAACCAUAAAUAGUUACUGGGACAAGAUUGGUCAGGGCUCCAGAGUGGGAGUCUCUCCUUCUUCAAGACCCCAUAACUUGCUGCUUGUACCUUCCUGUUAUUGACUUAGAUGCUGCCUGGCCAUCCUCCUGGAAGAAGUGUGUAAAAGGCGAAGGGCACAGAACCAUCCAUGACUCUCUCUUGAUUGUUUAUACCACAACAGGAAGUCCAUGCAGGUGGAUCACAAACCCAUCCACCCACACUCAUAACAUACUUUACUGUAUCUGGAUUGUAGUGGUGGUGGUUAUCCAACUCUGUUUUUGUCAAAACCCAUAGAUCUGCACACCACACAAAGUGAAUAUUAUUGUGUAUAAAUUAAGAAUGAGAGGUUAUGGCAGACACCUUUGUUGCCUACCCAACAGCCUUUCUUCCAAACCCUAAUUCUUUACUAAAAAAACCUGUUAUUCAGGCAUCUGUCUGGCUUAGGGGAGGCUGGACCCCCACCCCCAGCCUCUUGGAGAUGCAUCUUGAUUAAUCUAAGCCAAUUGGUAAUCCAGCUCCUCUUGUCACUAAUUGGUUUAAGAAUGACAUUUGAUAACAUUCUUGCCAAUCUAAGAUGUGAGGGUCUGGGAAGCCUCUGCUUAGGUUCUGUAUUCUCUUCAAAAAGGAGCUCUUCCCUCCUGGCUUUUGGUAUUAUGUGAGGAUGUGAUGCCUGGAGCUUGUACAGCGAUCUUGUGAAGAUGGGGCGGGGGGGGGGGGGGGGAGCGGGCACACAUACAGAGAAUGGCAGACCAGACAGACGAAAAUCUAGGUCAUCCUGCCAGCAUUGAGCAGCCGAGUUCACUGAUCCUGGAGUCCCAAUCCACCCCUACCACCUCCUGACUUUCUGCUGUGGGAGGUAAUACAUGUUUUUCUCAUUGUUGAAGCGGGUUUAUUUGGUUUCCCUAUUACCUACAGCCCAAAGCCUCAUGAUUAAUACACUGGACCCAUGCUGUUAGAAAUGGGACAGGCAUCCUUGUGUAGGCCAACAACACACAACAAGUGUCUGUUAUGCCAUUGCCAAGAUACACUGUGUUUGUUUUCUUGCAGAAAUUGUCUCUUGAUUACAUGUUGACUACCUAUGGAGCCACUUGCACCUAAUUCAACCAAUAAAAACUGCUAGAAACUUAAGCCAA
Hipposideros armiger (great roundleaf bat) is the source of this 5838-nucleotide RNA transcript. It is a transcript of the gene named myosin regulatory light chain interacting protein, with no coding region annotated. The record is from RefSeq and is a predicted model, not a curated record. The transcript has 11 exons. NCBI's taxonomy places the organism in Eukaryota, Metazoa, Chordata, Mammalia, Chiroptera, Hipposideridae.